GCAGUUUUGUUUUCCGUAUAUAUAUAUACUUGACGUUUCCCAGAAAUUGAAUUGAAAUGAAAAUAUUGUUUAAAAUGAAAUGCAUAUGAGUUAUGUGGAAAAACGGGAAGUGAAAAUACCAUGCAUAGAAUUGAUAUGAAAAGUAUAUAGAAAUGUGAGUUGAAAUGCCAUGCAUGAAUUGAUAUAUGAUGCAUAUGUAUGAAUUGGUGCGGUGGACGCACAUGUAAGAAUUAAUAUAUGAUGCAUAUGUAUGAAUUGGUGCGGUGGACGCACAUGUAAGAAUUGAUUUAUGAUGCAUAUGUAUGAAAUGGUGCGGUGGACGCACAGGUGAGUAUCAGGUGAUUAUUUAAAUACUGUUAUGAUGAUGUUGAUAUAUAUUGAGCUCAAAUCCUGCACCAUGGUUUAGUGCUUAUAGUAUUCACCGCAUCGCACGCUCGCCUUGGAUCCAAGUAGAUGCUAGUCGUACAGUCCACGCGGAGUGGGUACGACAGACCAGUCGCGAGAGUGUUAGUGAGAUUCCGACUGGUGGGUGACCUUAGAUUAUGUGCACAGAUGAUUUAUGAGAAGCACUAGAGCGUAACUUGUGUGCAGAAGGCCGGACGGGUCACAGAGGUGACUCCGGUAGAGUGAUAAUGAUAGAUUUUGAGCUCUAGGUUCAACCGUACAGGGCUAUUAGAGGGCCUACGGUUGAUUACUUUCUUGCACCUGAUAUGAUUAUGUUGAUGCAUUCAUACCUUAUUACUGUUGAGAUGAUGUGUGCAUGGCAUAAUUAAUAUGAGAAAUGUUGAGAUGAACAUGGCAUGGCAUGAGAUUGAUAAAGAGAUAAUGUUGAGAUAGUAAAAAUGAAGUUUUGAGAAUAUAUAUGUAUAUUUAUAUUUUACAUUUCUGGGAAAGUAUACACAGGUUUUACGGAGAGGGGUUACAACGUUUUGAGAAAUGUUUGGAUUUGGAAAAGAAUUGUUUUACUGACCCACUCAAUUUUGGUUUUGCGCCCCUCCAGGUUCAGGAAUCACAAAGGUGUGGUGACUACGAGGAAUUCGACGGUGUUCUGACAGAUUGGACAAAAUUAGGACUCACCUUCGGGUGUAUCAACUUAUAAAUUGUAUCUUAAAGCUUCCGUACUGUGCAAAUGGUUACGUCACUCUCACGUGACGGCCAGCAUGCCCUCCUUCGGGACGGGGUGUGUCAGUUGGUAUCAAGAGCAUGGUUGCAAUCUUGGACAUCUUGAGAAGUUUUUAGUGAAUUCUGUCAGAACUACACCGCCUCGUAGCAAACCACGUAGUUAGAGGAACUUAGUCUCCCUGAUUUAGCGGUUUGGGGGAAACUAUUAUUAUGGUGAUUCAGUAUAUUAUCAAAUUAACAUUUUAAGACGGGUUAUGAGUUGAAUUUGAAUCACCUUAUGAAAUGAUGAACCUGAGGGAGCGGAGUGACGGUUUAACCAAUUGGAAAAGAUGUUUCAGAUUAUGCAAGUCAAAGGAAAUUUCCUUCUGACAGGUGGGUCGAGACGACUACCUGGUUUUGGGUAUGAAUUUGCAUCCUGGUGGAAACAGGAAUGUUAAUUGUUGUCACCAGAGGAAUCAGCCGAUUUAAAAUUUUUUUAAGGAAAAGUUUAUCCCUCCGGCAUUUAUUGAUGGUAGUAAACAAGAGUUUACAAAUAUGAGACAAGGAAGGUGAUGAUCGAGGGAUAUUAUAGAAAGUUUUCAGACUUGCCUCGUUCCAUCCAGAUAUUGUUGUUAAUUUGGUGGAGGUGUUAUGUUGUUUUAAGCUGGGUGGCAAAAAGGGAAGUGGUAUUUUGGGUGACCACUAUCCAUUAUACUUCUUACCAGGAAUAUACGAGAUGCUGUUGAGUCUUGAGGACUCUGAGAACAUGAGCAACGAGAAUAAAGAAGAAUAAGAAAAGAAUGGGAAUUAAAAGAAGACAAUAAAGUUAAUGAUUCGUCAUAUCAAGAAUAUCGAAGGAUUCAGAGCUUCGAAAGAAGUGAAGCUAGAGUUAAUUCUUCCAGCUGAGGUUUUAAUGUCGCUGGUCAGAGUAAAAGUGAUGGAUAUACUGGUAAUCCCAGAUAUUUGAGACAAGGUGUCUCGAGUAAAGGAAAUGUACUUUGGGCAGCAGGUACAAAAUUAACACUUUGGGAAGUGUGAAAUUAAUGAAUGUGUUUAUGUGAACAGAGGGGACACAGAAUUGUGAAUCGUCCCUAGAAUCAGUUGUACCCAACAGUUUUCUAUGACAUCGUAGUAUCGAUUCAGCAGGUUUAUGGACUUAGUAGUUUGGUCAGAUUGACCGUGGGUACAGAGAGAUUUGAUGAGUUAUAUGUUCAGCCGUACAGACCACGAGAGGUGGAUUUGACUGACACAUGAGAAAUUGGUGAGUUAUAGGCUCGGCCGUACCGACCACGCGGAGUGGAUCUGGCCGACGCAUUAUUGAGGUAAUUGUUGAAUCAGCCGUACAAGUCAUUCUAGUUGACUCCGGCUGAUAUAUAUAUAUUUUAUUAUGAUUGAUAUUACCUAGAGAGUAGUAAAUAAAUGUAGUUGAGACGAGUGUAUGUAUUUUGCAUUGAGUGAUAAAAUAGUAAUGUUAUAUCUUUGAGAGUGGUUGCCUACUUAUCGAGACAACGAUGAUUUAUCAGUAUUGCGGGCUGCAGACCGUAAUAUUAAUAACUCCUUCGUGGAUUCGUUAAGCAAGCAAACCGGUAGGUUAUUUUUAUGUUAGUGUUGUACUUAUUUAGAAUGUUCAGUAUUAAUAAAGUAUGUAUUGUGUCGGUUAAAUUAUUUCCAUUAGAGUGGUUGGUUAUAAUUGUGACUAAAUGGAUUGUUACGGGAAACCAGUCACUUUCCAUCGAUCUGGAUGACCAGAGAUUACUUUUGUAAGUAUGCAAAGUGAAGUGAGUUCAGCCAUUAUUUAUGCUGUGAAAGCAAAGAGAUUGUUUUGAAAGGCUGUCAAAAAUACUUAGCUCAUGUGGUGCUAAAUGAUGUUGUUUGGAGUAGUGUGAAUAAUGUCGAAAGGGUUAGACUUUUCUUGAUGUCUUCCCUGAAAGUAUACCUGGAUUGCCUUCAGGCAGAGAUAUGAGGUUCACUAUUGAUUUGUUGCCAGGUAUAAAUUUAUAUUGGAGAUUGGUUCAUGAUGAGUUAAGGGAAUUGGAAAUUCAGUUGAAAGAAUUGGUUGAUAAAAGUUUCAUUCAACCUAGUACAACACUUUUGAGGAGCCCCAGUUUGUUGGUGAGGAAGAAAAUGGAUCUUGAGACUGUUCAUUGAUUAUAGACAAUGGAGUCGGGUAACGAUUGAGAACCGUUAUCCAUGGUGAUGUACUGAUGUUUAUUUAACCAGCUCAGAAGUAAUUGCGAAGAUUCAAAGAUUGAAUUGAGAUCUGGUUACUACCAAUUGAAUAUUAUAAGUGACGUUGAUCAUAAGAUAGUUUCUGGACUUGUUAUGGUCCUUAUAAAGUUUGGUGAUGCUAUGUGGAUACUCAUGCGGUUUUAUGAGUUGAUGGAUGAAGUAUUCCAAUAAUGCCUUGAUAAUUGAUAUCAUUUUCAUUGAAGAUAUUCUGGCAUAUUCUGAGCCAGAGCAGAGCAUGUAAACGUAUUAAGUCGGUAGAACAAAGAUUGGAAGAAUGUCGAUUGUAUGCUAAGUUUAGCAAAUGCGAAUGUUGGAUGAAUCAAGCAGCAUUUCUGGGAUAUGUUAUAUAUUCUUAAGGUAUUCAAGUGAAUCCUUAAAAGGUAACAGAAAUUAAAAUUUGGAACAACCACGAGUCGUAAUUGAGAUUUGGAAUUUCUUAGCUUACCAGGCUAUCUUGGAUGGUUGUGAAAGAUUUUUCAGUCAUUGCUUUGUCAUUGACGAGACUGUUGAGAAAAGAGGUUAUGUAUGAGUGGGAAGGAAAUUGUGAGCAAAGGAUUCAACAACUGAAGUAUUUCCUCACUCAUGCACGUAUUUUAGUAAUCCUAGAAGAUAGUGGUAAUCAUAAAUUUUUAGUGAUGUUUCUUGAAUGGUAUUGGAGGCAUGUUGAUGCAAAUGUUAGGGUGAUUGUAUAUGUUUCACGACAAAUGGAACCUCAUGAGAUGAAUUACCCUACUGGUGAUUUGGAAGUCACGAUUAUCAUUCUUGCUGUGAAGUUAUGAAGGCAUUAUAUUUGGUAAGAAUGCAAGAUUUUUACGAAUCCAAAAAGUCUUCAAUAUCCAUUACUUGGAAGGAUUUUGAUAUGAGGCAGCGAAAGUGAAUUGUAUUGCUUAAUGAACACGAUUGUACGAUCAGGGUGAUCGUAAAGCUUGUUCUAGCUGAAGCACUUGGUGAGAAGACUACAGUAAGAUUAAUGUCUGGCACGUUUGCCAAGAGUAUCAUCUUGUGGAUUGAAAACCAACGGAAGAAAAAUUAAGAAUGGAAGAUCGAGAAGAAGUUAUACUUGUUAAGUAACAAGUUAGUACAUUUACUCCAGUGUUGAGUAACAACCUUUCCCAGACAGUUCAACAUUACUUAUUUGUUUUAUGGAAAAGAGAAUUGGUUUACGGAACUGCUAAGUUUCUUAAGUAUGUUGGUUGCGCAGUUUCCGAAGUGAAGCCAUAAGGUUCAUGAAGUGUGUCAUGUGUGUAUUUUGUUGACUUGUGAAUGGAAUAUUUCUGGGUAGAGAAAGAUUCGAUCGAGAAAGAGUUUUAGUAGACCCUGAGACUAUGGAUGAGUCUCCUCAAAGUAUUCAGGUGAUUAAGUUAACCUAAAAGUAACCAGGAAUGACAAAAGACAUCAACAGAUGGAUAUGCCACUAAUCGAGUAUAUAAGGUAAAUGGUUUUAUAUUUUAGAAGUGUUCACCUUAGAAAAGUAGAAUUUGGAUUGAAAAAAGAAGGUCCUGAGAGUUAAGAUAGAGUAAAUGGUAAAAGUUUUGUGAAGGAAUCAUUCAGUGGAAGAAAAUUACGUGGGAGAAAAAGAAUCGGAUGAAAAAAAAAAAAAAAAACUUACCGAGGUUGGUAUAAGUGUUGAUGAAUUGGUUGGUUGCUGGAAUUUCGGGGACGAAAUUCUAUAAGGAGGGAAGAUUGUCACAGCCCGUUCCAAAUUAUUAUAUUCGUGGCUGUGAAUGGACGAAAUUGCCCUUAAGAAAUACUAAAUUGUGAAGCUCAGGUUGCUAAUUAUCUAGGUUCCUAAGUUUGAAAAUAAAAUGGAAUUUAAUAAGGAUGGAACUUAGAUUUUUAGGUUAAAAUGUUAAAGUUUGGUGUUUGGAGAUUGGAAUAAGGACCACGUGGGAUCCCCACAUCCCUCAAAACCCUCCUCAUUUCCCGUUCACUGUCUUUCUCUCUCCUCCUUCACGAUUUCUCACUCUCUCUGUCUCUCUCCUUCGAACUCACACGGACCACCACCAAAACCACCCUAAAUCUAUACCAACGUCAAGUUUGAGACCACCAUGGGAAUCCUGAGGACUUCACGAUCACGUUGGUAUCCAUUUCAGGUAAGUUUUACUUCGGAAAACCUAGAUUCUAAACUCCCCAUGAAAGUGUACUGUUCAUGAGCUUUGAAUUGGUUGAUUUUUAGGACAAUCCAAGCUCAUAGUGAGCUUAGUGAGGUCCCAAGGAAGCUCGGAGUGCUUCGUUGGAAGUUUUUGGACGUAAGAACACGGAGAUCGACAAGUUCAAAGUUUGGCCGGAGCUUUAGAGGCUUUUUUCCGGCGAAUCCCCGGCGAGUUAGGAGUCGAGGUAGGUAUCAAUCUCUUCGUCUCGUCAAGUACUACAACUUUCCUUUUUGUUUCACUCAAUUUCGUUGAGUAUUGAAGAAGUUAUACUCAUUUGAAAAAUACCCAGUUUCCGGCGACCUCCGAGGCUUUCGAGGCAGUUUCCGGCCAAACCACGGCGAACUAGGUGUUGUGCAAGGUACCAUUCUCUUUGUCUCUUCAAGGGCUACAACUUUCGUUUUUGAAUCACUUGAUUUCGUUGAGAAAUGACAAAAAGUUAUGGCAAUUUGAAAAACUGCCGGAAAACGGCCGCCGGAAAAACCAGUCCGGCGACCCAAGGAAGAAGAAGGUGCUACAGUAAAAAAUAAAAAAUAAAAAUAAAAUUAUUUUAAAAAUAUGUCGACGUCCGUGACGUCGAGUAGAUCACUGUGGUAUAUUCAUAUACCUAAAUUGAACACCGUAUGAGAAAGUUAUUGAGGAUUGUUGGUUAGGUGUUCGAAUAACGUUUUAUAGUUUUCACAUUAGGUGAAAAUGUGAAUUGAUGAUCCGACCGUUGGAUCAUCACCAAACUUUGAUACGUUGUAAUACGUAAUAUUUGAAGAUUAUUGGAACUUACGGAUUGGGAAUCCGAGUUACGGAUCUUCCGGAAUUGGAAUUGUAAGUCCAUAAUAUAAAAUGUUAACCGUCACUUAGUUUUGGAAAUUGACGGAGAUCCGACCGUUGGAUGGUAAUGAAAUUUUAGGAUGUUGUCCUAGAGGUAUAUUGUAGACCUCUGGAAGUUAUGGAUUUAAAAUCUGAGUGGCAGAUCUUCCGGAUCGAUCAACGUAGUGACGUAUUUUAUAUAAGUUAUGUAUUCUAUCGAUGUGAAUUCUGAGGUUGGAUUUGAUUACUGUUCUAGGCGGCGAUCGUCAUGACGCCUUGGCGUAUUGUGCUAGGGAGUUGUAGGGCGAACUCCAGGUGAGUGGGCAGUUUUGUUUUCCGUAUAUAUAUAUACUUGACGUUUCCCAGAAAUUGAAUUGAAAUGAAAAUAUGUUUAAAAUGAAAUGCAUAUGAGUUAUGUGGAAAAACGGGAAGUGAAAUACCAUGCAUAGAAUUGAUAUGAAAAGUAUAUAGAAAUGUGAGUUGAAAUGCCAUGCAUGAAUUGAUAUAUGAUGCAUAUGUAUGAAUUGGUGCGGUGGACGCACAUGUAAGAAUUAAUAUAUGAUGCAUAUGUAUGAAUUGGUGCGGUGGACGCACAUGUAAGAAUUGAUUUAUGAUGCAUAUGUAUGAAAUGGUGCGGUGGACGCACAGGUGAGUAUCAGGUGAUUAUUUAAAUACUGUUAUGAUGAUGUUGAUAUAUAUUGAGCUCAAAUCCUGCACCAUGGUUUAGUGCUUAUAGUAUUCACCGCAUCGCACGCUCGCCUUGGAUCCAAGUAGAUGCUAGUCGUACAGUCCACGCGGAGUGGGUACGACAGACCAGUCGCGAGAGUGUUAGUGAGAUUCCGACUGGUGGGUGACCUUAGAUUAUGUGCACAGAUGAUUUAUGAGAAGCACUAGAGCGUAACUUGUGUGCAGAAGGCCGGACGGGUCACAGAGGUGACUCCGGUAGAGUGAUAAUGAUAGAUUUUGAGCUCUAGGUUCAACCGUACAGGGCUAUUAGAGGGCCUACGGUUGAUUACUUUCUUGCACCUGAUAUGAUUAUGUUGAUGCAUUCAUACCUUAUUACUGUUGAGAUGAUGUGGCAUGGCAUAAUUAAUAUGAGAAAUGUUGAGAUGACAUGGCAUGGCAUGAUUGAUAAAAAG
This 7423-nucleotide long non-coding RNA is filed under the name Malus domestica (apple). Its description in RNAcentral is "long non-coding RNA (MDOM_LNC018201)". The record is from RNAcentral. Lineage: Eukaryota; Viridiplantae; Streptophyta; Magnoliopsida; Rosales; Rosaceae.